ACCCGCUGAACUUAAGCAUAUCAAUAAGCGGAGGAAAAGAAACCAACAGGGAUUGCCCUAGUAACGGCGAGUGAAGCGGCAACAGCUCAAAUUUGAAAUCUGGCUCUUUUAGGGUCCGAGUUGUAAUUUGCAGAGGGCGCUUUGGCGUUAGCAGCGGUCCAAGUUCCUUGGAACAGGUCGUCACAGAGGGUGAGAAUCCCGUACGUGGUCGCCAGCUUUCGCCGUGUAAAGCCCCUUCGACGAGUCGAGUUGUUUGGGAAUGCAGCUCUAAAUGGGAGGUAAAUUUCUUCUAAAGCUAAAUACUGGCCAGAGACCGAUAGCGCACAAGUAGAGUGAUCGAAAGAUGAAAAGCACUUUGGAAAGAGAGUCAAAUAGCACGUGAAAUUGUUGAAAGGGAAGCGCUUGCAGCCAGACUUGCCUGUAGUUGCUCAACCGAGCUUUUGUUCGGUGCAUUCUUCUAUAGGCAGGCCAGCAUCAGUUUGGGCGGUUGGAUAAAGGUCUCUGUCACGUACCUCCUUUCGGGGAGGCCUUAUAGGGGAGACGAAUUGCAACCAGCCCGGACUGAGGUCCGCGCAUCUGCUAGGAUGCUGGCGUAAUGGCUGUAAGCGGCCCGUCUUGAAACACGG
This 626-nucleotide ribosomal RNA is filed under the name uncultured fungus. Its description in RNAcentral is "LSU rRNA". It matches the Rfam family "Eukaryotic large subunit ribosomal RNA", at positions 23 to 664 of the family's 3401-position model. Lineage: Eukaryota; Fungi. The record is from RNAcentral.